RNAcentral lists this ribosomal RNA (253 nucleotides) under uncultured bacterium. RNAcentral describes it as "partial 16S ribosomal RNA". It matches the Rfam family "Bacterial small subunit ribosomal RNA", at positions 524 to 776 of the family's 1533-position model. The record is from RNAcentral.
UACGGGGGGGGCAAGCGUUGUUCGGAAUUACUGGGCGUAAAGGGCUCGUAGGCGGCCAACUAAGUCGGACGUGAAAUCCCCAGGCUUAACCUGGGAACUGCAUCCGAUACUGGAUGGCUUGAAUCCGGGAGAGGGAUGCGGAAUUCCAGGUGUAGCGGUGAAAUGCGUAGAUAUCUGGAGGAACACCGGUGGCGAAGGCGGCAUCCUGGACCGGCAUUGACGCUGAGGAGCGAAAGCCAGGGGAGCAAACGGG